GACGAACGCUGGCGGCGUGCUUAACACAUGCAAGUCGAACGGAAAGGCCCUACUUUGGUGGGGUGCACGAGUGGCGAACGGGUGAGUAACACGUGAGUAACCUGCCCCUGACUUUGGGAUAAGUUCAGGAAACUGGGGCUAAUACCGGAUAGGAGCUCCUGCUGCAUGGUGGGGGUUGGAAAGUUUCGGCGGUUGGGGAUGGACUCGCGGCUUAUCAGCUUGUUGGUGGGGUAGUGGCUUACCAAGGCUUUGACGGGUAGCCGGCCUGAGAGGGUGACCGGCCACAUUGGGACUGAGAUACGGCCCAGACUCCUACGGGAGGCAGCAGUGGGGAAUAUUGCACAAUGGGCGGAAGCCUGAUGCAGCAACGCCGCGUGAGGGAUGACGGCCUUCGGGUUGUAAACCGCUUUCGGCUGGGAAGAAGCGAAAGUGACGGUAACGGGUAAAGAAGCACCGGCUAACUACGUG
This 468-nucleotide ribosomal RNA is filed under the name uncultured bacterium. RNAcentral describes it as "partial 16S ribosomal RNA". It matches the Rfam family "Bacterial small subunit ribosomal RNA", at positions 28 to 507 of the family's 1533-position model. The record is from RNAcentral.